GAUGAACGCUGGCGGCGUGCCUAAUACAUGCAAGACGAGCGAACGGACGAGAAGCUUGCUUCUCUGAUGUUAGCGGCGGACGGGUGAGUAACACGUGGAUAACCUACCUAUAAGACUGGGAUAACUUCGGGAAACCGGAGCUAAUACCGGAUGAUAUUUUGAACCGCAUGGUUCAAAAGUGAAAGACGGUCUUGCUGUCACUUAUAGAUGGAUCCGCGCUGUAUUAGCUAGUUGGUAAGGUAACGGCUUACCAAGGCAACGAUGCAUAGCCGACCUGAGAGGGUGAUCGGCCACACUGGAACUGAGACACGGUCCAGACUCCUACGGGAGGCAGCAGUAGGGAAUCUUCCGCAAUGGGCGAAAGCCUGACGGAGCAACGCCGCGUGAGUGAUGAAGGUCUUCGGAUCAUAAAACUCUGUUAUUAGGGAAGAACAUAUGUGUAAGUAACUGUGCACAUCUUGACGGUACCUAAUCAGAAAGCCACGGCUAACUACGUG
This 497-nucleotide ribosomal RNA is filed under the name uncultured bacterium. RNAcentral describes it as "partial 16S ribosomal RNA". It matches the Rfam family "Bacterial small subunit ribosomal RNA", at positions 28 to 507 of the family's 1533-position model. The record is from RNAcentral.